AGAGGGAUAGCUGGGUCAAAUGGUGGUUCCAUUUCCAGAUUUCCAAGAAAUCUCCAUACUGCUUUCCAUAUUGGUUGCACCAGUUUGCAGUCCCACCAGCAGU
RNAcentral lists this microRNA precursor (103 nucleotides) under Marmota monax (woodchuck). The record is from RNAcentral. Lineage: Eukaryota; Metazoa; Chordata; Mammalia; Rodentia; Sciuridae.